RNAcentral lists this ribosomal RNA (440 nucleotides) under uncultured bacterium. RNAcentral's name for it is "partial 16S ribosomal RNA". It matches the Rfam family "Bacterial small subunit ribosomal RNA", at positions 338 to 795 of the family's 1533-position model. The record is from RNAcentral.
CCUACGGGAGGCAGCAGUAGGGAAUAUUGCUCAAUGGGGGAAACCCUGAAGCAGCAACGCCGCGUGGAUGAUGAAGGUUUUCGGAUUGUAAACUCCUUUUGUCAGAGAAGAUAAUGACGGUAUCUAACGAAUAAGCACCGGCUAACUACGUGCCAGCAGCCGCGGUAAUACGGAGGGUGCAAGCGUUACUCGGAUUUACUGGGCGUAAAGAGAGCGUAGGCGGGAUAGCAAGUCAGAUGUGAAAUCCUAUGGCUUAACCAUAGAACUGCAUUUGAAACUGUUAUGCUAGAGUAUAGGAGAGGUAGGUGGAAUUCUUGGUGUAGGGGUAAAAUCCGUAGAGAUCAAGAGGAAUACUCAUUGCGAAGGCGACCUGCUAGAACAUAACUGACGCUGAGGCGCGAAAGCGUGGGGAGCAAACAGGAUUAGAUACCCCGGUAGUC